This is a long non-coding RNA of Panthera uncia (snow leopard), 713 nucleotides long. RefSeq lists it as uncharacterized. NCBI's taxonomy places the organism in Eukaryota, Metazoa, Chordata, Mammalia, Carnivora, Felidae. The transcript has 2 exons. The record is from RefSeq and is a predicted model, not a curated record.
CAGGGACGCCGCGAUGGAAGCGAUUCUGCGGCUCGGUCGCCACCAACCGCUCUCCAUCCGCUCCAACCGCCACCAACCGCUCUCACUUUCUUUUCGUUGAGGAGUCUGGAAGGAGCAGGACUUCGUGAGGGCCUUUCUCGACAGCCUCUUGGCGGGUCUGCGAAUGCACACGCCGCACAGGGGCUCAGCCGGUGUCCGGCCCGGAGGGAAGAAGGGCUCGCCGCGGGCCCGGGGCGCAGAGGUGCGCGGUGCGCUCGCCGAGGCGGUGAAAACCUAGAUCGUUGCUGAUGAGUGGGGUGCUCGAGUCAGAGAGCGACCCCGAGACAAAGACCGAUACUGUAUCAGAUACCGCUACGGGCUGAAUCUGAAAGGACUCCGAGGAGCAAGUUCUGUCUGUGAGCCUUUUCCUGCUGAAGGGACAGAAGCUGGCUCUAUACAUCAGGCCCCCUCCCUCAAGCUGGGGCAUUGGUGAGGUAUUCCUACGGCUGGAGAAAGCCACAGCUACCUUGCCCGAAACCGGAACUCAAUUUCCUGAUGCUGUGUCUCUGGGCACAAAGGAGGAGAGGGACCAGCAAGGCUGAGGGUUCCGAGUGGAACAAAGACCCCGAUUCUUCCCCUGCUUUGGUGUGACAAAUCAGGUGGGACCAUGGAGGGUAUCAGUGCUGCCUCUGAUAGCUCAGGGUAAAAGAUAUUAAAAUACAUUAAUGACUAAA